RNAcentral lists this small nuclear RNA (298 nucleotides) under Cercocebus atys (sooty mangabey). Its description in RNAcentral is "7SK RNA (ENSCATG00000002193.1)". It matches the Rfam family "7SK RNA". From Rfam's summary of the family: 7SK was discovered as an abundant small nuclear RNA in the mid-70s but a possible function has only recently been suggested. Two independent studies have found that 7SK RNA binds the CDK9/cyclin T complex (known as elongation factor P-TEFb). The record is from Rfam by way of RNAcentral. Lineage: Eukaryota; Metazoa; Chordata; Mammalia; Primates; Cercopithecidae.
AAAAGAUCUGACUGUGACAUCAGUCACUCCACAAAAAAAAAAAAUUAAUUUGACUGAUCUGGCUGACUAUGCAGUUGUCCCCUUAUUCCCUCAUCACUCCAUGUAUGUCCAAAAAAAAAAAACCUGCUUGGUUGAACAGGAUGACCUUCUCCAAUAGAAGAUAACUGUUCUUCAGUCAAGCUGCACUCAAAAAAAAAAACCUCAAAACAAGCUCUCAUGAUGACUAUAAAAAAAAAAAUUGAUCAAUAGAUUUAAUGUAUUUCCAAAAAAAAAAAAAGCAGGCUUUUUUUUUUUUUUU